UGGCGAGGAAGAUAACAAUCUGCACUGCUCUACGGAAGAUUACAACUUGUACUUGCCACUAUACAGAGCUUCACUGAGCGGGAAUUGGAAGGAAGCAAGACCAUUCUUUACUGGAGAGAAUAAAGCAAGCAGAGUUGUGCUCAACUCCUUCUUACAGACAUCACUACAUGUCGCGGUUGGCUCAAAGAAUGAUAAUGCCAAGCAUUUCAUUGAGAAAUUGGUGGAGUCGAUGCCCGACGAUCCCUUGGACAUGAAAGACCAUUAUGGAGAUACUCCUCUUCACUAUGCUGCUGGAUUUGGCAACUUAGAUGCAGCUAAAAUCCUUGUUCCCCGAAAUAAGCAUUUGCCUAAUAUUGUUUUCCAAUCCAUGAAGCAGCUGAUUAUGCCUACAUUUCUGCGGAUGUGUAUAUUUAUCUCUUGAGUGUCACCACGGUUCGUGAUCCUUUUAAUGGCUCCAGUGGCAUUAGGCUUCUUCGUAGAUUACUCCAUUCGAACAAGUGCGAUUUAGCUACAGAGUUGGUCGAACAACAUCCUGAUUUGGCCAUACAUGACCCACAUCAAGAUUCUGCUUUGGCGGAGCUAGCUACAAAGGAAUUUUCACUCCUUCGUGGACAUCGUUUAAGCAUUUGGCAACGAUUACUCUUCUGUUAUGUUCCUAUCAGAUCGACUUCCAGGGGUCAAAAAAAAAAAAUACCAACUGACAUCGAGAACGUAACAAAUGAACCACAAAUGUUUAAGCCAAAAAAUUGCUGGCUUUCACCAAUUUGUGAUCGGAUUUACUU
This is a long non-coding RNA of Lycium ferocissimum, 782 nucleotides long. RefSeq lists it as uncharacterized. The transcript is spliced from 3 exons. The record is from RefSeq and is a predicted model, not a curated record. NCBI's taxonomy places the organism in Eukaryota, Viridiplantae, Streptophyta, Magnoliopsida, Solanales, Solanaceae.